Molecule: ribosomal RNA, 405 nt
Filed under: uncultured bacterium
Lineage: Bacteria
Description: partial 16S ribosomal RNA
Rfam family: Bacterial small subunit ribosomal RNA
Source: RNAcentral
AUUGAACGCUGGCGGCAGGCUUAACACAUGCAAGUCGAACGAGUGGCGGACGGGUGAGUAAUGCUUGGGAAUCUAGCUUAUGGAGGGGUAUAACUAUGGGAAACUGUAGCUAAUACCGCGUACCAUAGGAUGAGCCCAAGUGGGAGUAGGUAGUUGGUGAGGUAAAGGCUCACCAAGCCGACGAUCUCUAGCUGGUCUGAGAGGAUGACCAGCAACAAUGGGACUGAGACACGGCCCAGACUCCUACGGGAGGCAGCAGUGGGGAAUAUUGCGAAAUGGGGGCAACCUGACGCAGCCAUGCCGCGUGAAUGAAGAAGGCCUUCGGGUUGUAAAGUUCUUUCGGUAGCGAGGCGUUAACUACAGAAGAAGCACCGGCUAACUCCGUGCCAGCCGCCGCGGUAAUAC